This 267-nucleotide ribosomal RNA is filed under the name uncultured bacterium. RNAcentral describes it as "partial 16S ribosomal RNA". It matches the Rfam family "Bacterial small subunit ribosomal RNA", at positions 524 to 790 of the family's 1533-position model. The record is from RNAcentral.
UACGUAGGGUGCGAGCGUUAAUCGGAAUUACUGGGCGUAAAGCGUGCGCAGGCGGUUUUGUAAGCCAGGUGUGAAAUCCCCGGGCUCAACCUGGGAAUGGCAUUUGGGACUGCAAGGCUGGAGUGCGGCAGAGGAGACUGGAAUUCCUGGUGUAGCAGUGAAAUGCGUAGAUAUCAGGAGGAAUACCGAUGGCGAAGGCAGGUCUCUGGGCUGACACUGACGCUCAUGCACGAAGCGUGGGGAGCAAACAAGGAUUAGAGUACCGAG